Molecule: ribosomal RNA, 301 nt
Filed under: uncultured bacterium
Lineage: Bacteria
Description: bacterial SSU rRNA
Rfam family: Bacterial small subunit ribosomal RNA
Source: RNAcentral
GUGUCAGCCGCCGCGGUAAUACGAAGGGUGCAAGCGUUAAUCGGAGUUACUGGGUGUAAAGCGCGCGUAGGUGGUUCGUUAAGUUGGAUGUGAAAGCCCCGGGCUCAACCUGGGAACUGCAUCCAAAACUGGCGAGCUAGAGUAUGGCAGAGGGGGGUGGAAUUCCACGUGUAGCAGUGAAAUGCGUAGAUAUGUGGAGGAACACCGAUGGCGAAGGCAGCCCCCUGGGCCUGUACUGACGCUCAUGCACGAAAGCGUGGGGAGCAAACAGGAUUAGAUACCCUGGUAGUCCACGCCCUAA